CCAGGUGUCUGGUAAAAGCACGAUGCUGCUGUCCAAUGAGGCGAGGAGAGAAGUAGCCAAACAGGCGAGAGCCGUGAAGGAGGAACGGCGGGCAGCUCUGGAUGCCCGACAUAAAUACCUGAUGAGCAGGCUGGCCGACGCCGGCAGCCUGGAGGAGGCGGCGGUGGAAGACGCCAUCGUCUCUGAUGACAGAUUCAGUCUGAUCCAUGAAUUCUUUGCUGCAAACGGAUCCAAGAAGCUGAUUUUCUUCUAUCAGGAUGUCAAACAGAGUCUGUCCUCCCGUCAGUCUUCCUUUGUGGACGCAUCAAACUCAGCUGUGGCUCAGAGGAAACUCUUCCUCACUACGGGGAACUCUGAGAGAAGACGUCAAACCCCUUCUUGGCAGUUUAUCUCAAUAAAGCUGUACUAUCCCAGCCAUCUGGGAGGAAGAAAAUGAAAAAGAAAACUUUUGAUGUGUCCAGACAUUUCUUCACAUCAGCUGCCAGCAACCAGUUUCAGCAUGUACAACUGUUGCAUUGUCAACUGUGUCAACGACCAAUGAGGACAUCACUGCUACACUUGAUGAUACUCACACCUUGAAAAAGUGCAAAGGUUUCCCAACAGGACUUCGACGGUUGGUCUUCUUGAUCAAGCUAUAAUCUGUUCUCAUCAAAACCACCAUAAAACCAGUUUGACAGGAUGAUGCUGAUAAAUCCCUCUAGACCUUUUUGUGACAGUAUUAAAAGCUUGCUGGAAAUUCUCUGUACUCAUAUUUGUGCUCAGUAUCUGUAGGAGCCAUUUUUGUGUGGGUACCUCAUGUAUGCCACUAGGGGUCACCUUUUGUGUUACAUAUGGUGUGUCUAUUUAAGGUAGAUAGGUCAUUAGCAGCAGGUGUGUUGUUGUUGGGAAGGAGCAAACAG
Molecule: non-coding RNA, 899 nt
Organism: Maylandia zebra (zebra mbuna)
Lineage: Eukaryota; Metazoa; Chordata; Actinopteri; Cichliformes; Cichlidae
Source: RefSeq, a predicted model, not a curated record